This 163-nucleotide small RNA is filed under the name Proteus mirabilis. Its description in RNAcentral is "SraJ RNA". It matches the Rfam family "GlmZ RNA activator of glmS mRNA", at positions 1 to 178 of the family's 214-position model. From Rfam's summary of the family: This RNA was discovered in E. coli during a large scale screen. The sraJ gene was expressed in early logarithmic phase, but its level decreased with cell growth. The record is from RNAcentral. Lineage: Bacteria; Pseudomonadati; Pseudomonadota; Gammaproteobacteria; Enterobacterales; Morganellaceae.
GUAGAUGCUCAUUCCACUCCUUAUGACAGCAUAUGUCUUCAUAAACCUAGGAAUGAUGCAGAGCCGAUUAUCGGUGCCUACGUCCACGUUAUCGAUGAAACACCAUUCAUCACCAACAGGACGAAACGUUGAGUGAGGCACCAUCCGUCUGUAGACCUGAUUG